AUUCUGCCCAUACGGGGAAGGAUGAGAAGCUUCGAUUAAGGUUCGAUUCGAGCGCAGCGAGAAAGCGUUGCCGCUGGCAACGACCCGAAGGGCGAGGCGCAACGCGCCGAGUAAUCCUUCUCCCAACACGA
RNAcentral lists this small RNA (131 nucleotides) under Citrobacter amalonaticus. Its description in RNAcentral is "RtT sRNA". It matches the Rfam family "RtT RNA". From Rfam's summary of the family: This family represents a bacterial cis-regulatory element known as RtT RNA. The exact function of RtT is unknown although it is thought that it may be involved in changing the cellular response in relation to amino acid starvation. Lineage: Bacteria; Pseudomonadati; Pseudomonadota; Gammaproteobacteria; Enterobacterales; Enterobacteriaceae. The record is from RNAcentral.